CUGCCAGUAGUCAUAUGCUUGUCUUAAAGAUUAAGCCAUGCAUGUCUAAGUAUAAGUAAUUUUUACAGCGAGACUGCGAACGGCUCAUUAAAAUCAGUUAUAGUUUCUUUGAUGACCUACUUUAAUUGGAUAACUGUGGAAAAUCUAGAGCUAAUACAUGCAAACCAACUUGAACAAGUUGGAUUUAUCAGAGUUGAAACCAAACUGGGUGUAAAAGCUCAGUUUCAGAUGAAUCAUGAUAACUUACCUAAUUGCACAGCCUUUUGAGCUGGCAAUAUUUCAUUCAAAUUUCUGCCCUAUCAACUGUCGACUGUAGUACAGUUGGCUACAAGGGUGAUAACGGGUACGGGGAAUUAGGGUUCGACUCCGGAGAUGGAGCCUGAGAAACGGCUACAACUUCCAAGGAAGGCAGCAGGCGCGCAAAUUACCCAAUCCCAAUUCGGGGAGGUAGUGACAAUAAAUAACAAUACUGGUCCUGAAAAGGGGCCAGUAAUUGGAAUGAGUGUAAUGUAGACACCUUAACGAGGAACAAUUAGAGGAAAAGUCUGGUGCCAGCACCCGCGGUAAUUCCAGCUCUAAGAGCGUAUAUUAAAGUUGUUGCAGUUAAAACGCUCGUAGUCUAAACUUGAGGUAGAUGGACAUUUCGGUCUCCCGGGAUGGGUAGUACUAAUGCUGUCUGCCUCUCUGCAGGAACGGGAGGGGAUGCACUUGAAUGGGCAACUCCUACCACCUGUACAUUCACUGUGAGUAAAUUAGAGUGUUCAAAGCAGGCCUUAGUGCCAAUAAAUAUACUAGCAUGGAAUGAUCGAACAUGACUGGGUGUCCGUUCUGCGGGUACUCAAUCGGGCAGCUAGUAAUGAUCAAUGGGAGAGGUCGGGGCCGUCCAUAUGGCAUGGCUAGAGGUGAAAUUCUUGGACCCAUGCCAGAUGAACAAUUGCGAAGGCAGUCGGCCAGUACUCUUCCAUCGAUCAAGAACGAAAGUUUGGGGAUCGAAGACGAUCAGAUACCGUCGUAGUCCAAA
RNAcentral lists this ribosomal RNA (1021 nucleotides) under uncultured soil eukaryote. RNAcentral describes it as "SSU rRNA". It matches the Rfam family "Eukaryotic small subunit ribosomal RNA", at positions 14 to 1029 of the family's 1831-position model. The record is from RNAcentral.